This 331-nucleotide ribosomal RNA is filed under the name uncultured Omnitrophica bacterium. RNAcentral describes it as "bacterial SSU rRNA". It matches the Rfam family "Bacterial small subunit ribosomal RNA", at positions 29 to 351 of the family's 1533-position model. Lineage: Bacteria; Pseudomonadati; Candidatus Omnitrophota. The record is from RNAcentral.
AGUGAACGCUGGCGGCGUGGAUUAGGCAUGCAAGUCGAGCGAUCUUAUCGCAAGAUAAGAUAGCGGCAGACUGGUGAGCAACACGUGAGUAAUUUACCUUUGAUUCGGGGAUAGCCUUGCGAAAGUGAGAGUAAUACCCGAUGUGUCCCUGAUGACAAAAGUAAUCAGGGGUAAAGGCGGUUCGUAAGGAUUGCUGGUCAAAGAUGAGCUCGCGUCCUAAUCAGCUAGUUGGUAGAGUAAUGGCCUACCAAGGCAUUUGACGGGUAGCUGGCCUGAGAGGGUGGUCAGCCACACGGGGACUGAGACACUGCCCCGACACUACGGGUGGCUG